This 640-nucleotide long non-coding RNA is filed under the name Fukomys damarensis (Damara mole-rat). RNAcentral's name for it is "lncRNA (ENSFDAG00000029425.1)". The record is from RNAcentral. Lineage: Eukaryota; Metazoa; Chordata; Mammalia; Rodentia; Bathyergidae.
CUCAGAAGGUGCCAUCACCCCAACCUGUCUCACUGGGACAAGCUCCGUGAACAUGAGCCUCUGGGGACAAACCAUGUCAGAGCCACAGCAGGAUCCAGAGCUGUCACUUAGGUGGAUAAGCAGGAGAGAUGCAGCCCCCAGGCCCAGGAACGGUACCAUAUGUGAAGCGGAAUCAUUUCCAAAAGAUGCUCUCCUGGGACGACCUACACAUCUUUGUAUCUGGGCUGCACAAGAGAAUGUUUUCUUAAGAAGAAACCUAUAAAAUGCAAGAGGACUCAUUAUUAGCCAUCCUGGGAUGUUUUCUCCCAACAAGUACAUGCACCAGGACUCAAAUUUCUUCAACUAAACCAUACUUCUUCACCAUGAGAUCAUAAAACCCAUUGAAAAUGCGCUAUGUAACUGUGCCAGAUGUACUCAUUUCUCCAGAGACACGAGGGUGGGAUAAAAGGUGAAAAAUAAGCAAGUGCUGAGACAGAACCAUGUGUUCUACGCACAAAGCAGAAAACCAGAACAGAUUGGGAUGGUGGAGGAUCCAGAACUGGUGGGGCCACGGUCCUUCACCGAGCCAACAGUGACUCCUGUGAGGGUGCUGAGGCUCCAGCAACCUGCUUCAGACCCCUCACCAUGGACUAGUGGUCAC